AAAUGAUGAAAUCACCUAAAAUAGCUGGAAUUACUAGCAAAUUGAUUAAUGGUGCCCAUAUGGUUUCCUGAAG
Molecule: small nucleolar RNA, 73 nt
Filed under: Carlito syrichta (Philippine tarsier)
Lineage: Eukaryota; Metazoa; Chordata; Mammalia; Primates; Tarsiidae
Source: RNAcentral